GUCAAUGCUCGCAAGAGUGAACUAGCUAACUGAAAUCACAGGAUCCACUACGUGUGGUGAAUGUAAUAACGUAAGGGAAAAAAAUGAUAUUACCUUACUAUUAGUGUUGUCCAAAACUGGUGCCAGAAGACUCGGUAAGGCCAGAGACGCAAACGUUAGUCGUCCUAAUCAGGCGUAAAGGGUAUGUAGGCUGCUUUAAAAGUUUAGUAUAAUAUUUUAAUAGCUCUGUUUAAAUGGAAAAUAAUUUUAUUUAAACAGUAAAAUAUACAAUGAAUUAAAGCUAGGAUCAAAUUGAGGAUAAUUUAAAUAAUACUUAGUGUAGGGUUUACAUCUGGUGAUACUAAGGGGAGUACUAACGGUGAAAGCUUUUUAUCUAGAAAUGAUUGACGCUGAGAAACGAAGGUGAGAAUAGGAAAUAGGAUUAGAUACCCAGAUACCUCUCACAGUCAACGAUGAAUGGUGGUUGUUAGUUAGUUUUAUUUAACUGAUAACGAUGUUAACACGAUAACCAUUCCGCCUUGCGAGUACGGUUGCAAAACUGAAACCAAAAAAAUUAGUCGGUCUCGAAGCAAACGAAGUGAAGCAUGUUAUUUA
RNAcentral lists this ribosomal RNA (594 nucleotides) under Entoloma cetratum. RNAcentral's name for it is "partial small subunit ribosomal RNA". It matches the Rfam family "Bacterial small subunit ribosomal RNA", at positions 367 to 948 of the family's 1533-position model. The record is from RNAcentral. Lineage: Eukaryota; Fungi; Basidiomycota; Agaricomycetes; Agaricales; Entolomataceae.